RNAcentral lists this ribosomal RNA (491 nucleotides) under uncultured bacterium. Its description in RNAcentral is "partial 16S ribosomal RNA". It matches the Rfam family "Bacterial small subunit ribosomal RNA", at positions 29 to 507 of the family's 1533-position model. The record is from RNAcentral.
GUGAACGCUGGCGGUAGGCCUAACACAUGCCAGUCGAACGGCAGCACAGUAAGAGCUUGCUCUUACGGGUGGCGAGUGGCGGACGGGUGAGGAAUACAUCGGAAUCUACUUUUUCGUGAGGGAUAACGUAGGGAAACUUACGCUAAUACCGCAUACGACCUACGGGUGAAAGCAGGGGAUCUUCGGACCUUGCGCGAUUGAAUGAGCCGAUGUCGGAUUAGCUAGUUGGCGGGGUAAAGGCCCACCAAGGCGACGAUCCGUAGCUGGUCUGAGAGGAUGAUCAGCCACACUGGAACUGAGACACGGUCCAGACUCCUACGGGAGGCAGCAGUGGGGAAUAUUGGACAAUGGGCGCAAGCCUGAUCCAGCCAUACCGCGUGGGUGAAGAAGGCCUUCGGGUUGUAAAGCCCUUUUGUUGGGAAAGAAAAGCAGCAGGUUAAUACCCCGCUGUUCUGACGGUACCCAAAGAAUAAGCACCGGCUAACUUCGUG